AAAACGAAGCAUUAUUUGGCAAAUCCACCACUGAUUAAAAUCCAAGAAAACAUGACUAUAGAAGCCUAGAGAAAUGCGUACUUCAUUGAUCCUGAUUGAUCCUGAGCACACAGACACACACACAAACACACUAUACCAUAUACCUCGCUUGCGCAUGCACACCGAGGCAUAAUGAAAGCACCACGGGGGCUGAUAUGCCUCGGUGGAGCCAGGAGGUGUCAAAGCUAACAAUAAGUUUUAUCCCAUAAACAUUUUUAUGUAGGCAGAAUCCAGAAUCACAUAGGGAAACUCAAAGAGUGAGUAAUGAUCGACCAUGAUUGUUGUUAAAAACGAUCGAUGCCAAAAGUCCAAGUCUGAAAUUAACGGCGGCAUCAGCAGAGCCUUGCAGCUCUCUUGCAGCUACCAAAAGCUAGAGUAAACCACAGAUUAUCGAACACAUGCUAUUUUCAAACGCUUAAUUGUUCUCGAGGACAGCGGCUCACUCAGGGGCAUUAAGGACUGUCCAAAUUAAAAUUACAAGGAAUUUUGUUAUAAUGAUAUUCAUACACAAGUGUCAUCGCAUUGGAAUGUUUAUCACGUGCGUGGGUGGAAAACAUCUGCAAUUACUAGUGGGGUUGGAGCUUCGGUCACAUGACACUGUACUUAGCUUUCUGAAGUUGACCGUAGCUAGUUGAUCGUGUAAAACCCUGAAAAACUAUUUGUUGUAAGCUACCUAGUAGUUAUUAAAGGCCUUAACUAAGACUAUUAGAUAGUAGAGAACUUGUUUCCUGCUGCGCAAGACAGAGUGCAACCAAACAAGAAUGUUAGGAGGAGAUCUCGGGGACAAUUCAGGAUUUCAUCAGUAUAUGAUAUGUACAUCAGGAUUCCAAGAAAAGAUAGGAUCUAACUAAGCUGGAACAAAUGGUUUUUUUAUAAUUUAGUUUUACAAGGAAAUUUCAUGUUAAUUGGUCACAUGAUAGUCACAUGAUCUUUUUUUUCAUUAAGGAAACUUAAAUUAUUAUGACAAAACAAAAUGUGCAAUUACUAUGUUUAAUAUUGAAUACUUUUUGAUAUAUGUGACGUUGGCUGUUCUUGAUUCUGGACGUGCCUUAA
Molecule: long non-coding RNA, 1092 nt
Organism: Halichondria panicea
Lineage: Eukaryota; Metazoa; Porifera; Demospongiae; Suberitida; Halichondriidae
Exons: 2
Source: RefSeq, a predicted model, not a curated record